This 552-nucleotide ribosomal RNA is filed under the name Epicoccum nigrum. RNAcentral's name for it is "eukaryotic LSU rRNA". The stretch from base 197 to 350 matches the Rfam family "5.8S ribosomal RNA". The record is from RNAcentral. Lineage: Eukaryota; Fungi; Ascomycota; Dothideomycetes; Pleosporales; Didymellaceae.
GAAGUAAAAGUCGUAACAAGGUUUCCGUAGGUGAACCUGCGGAAGGAUCAUUACCUAGAGUUUGUAGACUUCGGUCUGCUACCUCUUACCCAUGUCUUUUGAGUACCUUCGUUUCCUCGGCGGGUCCGCCCGCCGAUUGGACAACAUUCAAACCCUUUGCAGUUGCAAUCAGCGUCUGAAAAAACAUAAUAGUUACAACUUUCAACAACGGAUCUCUUGGUUCUGGCAUCGAUGAAGAACGCAGCGAAAUGCGAUAAGUAGUGUGAAUUGCAGAAUUCAGUGAAUCAUCGAAUCUUUGAACGCACAUUGCGCCCCUUGGUAUUCCAUGGGGCAUGCCUGUUCGAGCGUCAUUUGUACCUUCAAGCUCUGCUUGGUGUUGGGUGUUUGUCUCGCCUCUGCGUGUAGACUCGCCUUAAAACAAUUGGCAGCCGGCGUAUUGAUUUCGGAGCGCAGUACAUCUCGCGCUUUGCACUCAUAACGACGACGUCCAAAAGUACAUUUUUACACUCUUGACCUCGGAUCAGGUAGGGAUACCCGCUGAACUUAAGCAUA